GGUAUGGAUCUAUACUUAUCUAAACUUUUUCGAGACACAAUUAUGUUUUUUAUUAUCAAGAUUAGAUUUUAUUCCAUAUGUGAGUGUUUGGAUUGACUUAUUUGAGCUUAUCUACUGACAUAAACACUUGUGAGACUGUUUUGGAGAACUUAUGGAAAUAGUUUAUGAUAUGUUUGUGAGACUGUUUGGGAGAACUUAUGGAAAUAGUUUAUGAUAUGUCCAAAAGUUGUUUUAAGAUUAUUUCCAUAAGCUCUCCAAGAUAGUUUAUAGAAAUAGCUUAAACGUAAGUAAUUAUAUAAUAAGUACUUAUGUUAUAAGUGUGGGGGUUUUGUAUAUAAAUUUGUUUGCAUGUUGUGGAUGGAGCACGCCCCAAGGAUAGGGUCUUUUCGCUUUUAGAAUCACGACAAUGGAAAAAGUAUCGGGUUGACUGAUAGAUAGCGCCGUGUUUGCAGG
This 453-nucleotide long non-coding RNA is filed under the name Trifolium pratense (red clover). RNAcentral's name for it is "long non-coding RNA (TPRA_LNC002381)". Lineage: Eukaryota; Viridiplantae; Streptophyta; Magnoliopsida; Fabales; Fabaceae. The record is from RNAcentral.